This 88-nucleotide transfer RNA is filed under the name Verrucomicrobiota bacterium. RNAcentral's name for it is "tRNA-Leu". The record is from RNAcentral. Lineage: Bacteria; Pseudomonadati; Verrucomicrobiota.
GCCUGCGUGGCGAAGUUGGUAGACGCGCUAGAUUUAGAUUCUAGUCCCGCACAAUGGGGUGCAAGCUCAACUCGUGCCGUAGUCACCA